GACGAACGCUGGCGGCGUGCCUAAUACAUGCAAGUUGAGCGCUGAAAGUUGGUACUUGUACCAACUGGAUGAGCAGCGAACGGGUGAGUAACGCGUGGGGAAUCUGCCUUUGAGCGGGGGACAACAUUUGGAAGCGAAUGCUAAUACCGCAUAAAAACUUUAAACACAAGUUUUAAGUUUGAAAGAUGCAAUUGCAUCACUCAAAGAUGAUCCCGCGUUGUAUUAGCUAGUUGGUGAGGUAAAGGCUCACCAAGGCGAUGAUACAUAGCCGACCUGAGAGGGUGAUCGGCCACAUUGGGACUGAGACACGGCCCAAACUCCUACGGGAGGCAGCAGUAGGGAAUCUUCGGCAAUGGACGAAAGUCUGACCGAGCAACGCCGCGUGAGUGAAGAAGGUUUUCGGAUCGUAAAACUCUGUUGGUAGAGAAGAACGUUGGUGAGAGUGGAAAGCUCAUCAAGUGACGGUAACUACCCAGAAAGGGACGGCUAACUACGUG
This 497-nucleotide ribosomal RNA is filed under the name uncultured bacterium. Its description in RNAcentral is "partial 16S ribosomal RNA". It matches the Rfam family "Bacterial small subunit ribosomal RNA", at positions 28 to 507 of the family's 1533-position model. The record is from RNAcentral.